CCCGUCUCAUAGGGGCGAAGGGGAGCUUGAUCACCUCCCGGGGACCAAUCACUAAUCCAACCCAGAGUGGCUGGGGGGCGGCAGGAAUGGCCUGCCAAUUUGGAUGAAGCUUGUGUCCCCACUAAUAAGGUGGAAAGGAGAAAAUAGGCCGAUAGAGCGGCAAGUGCAGCAAGGAAGAGCUUGCUGGCACUCUUGCCACCCGAACUGGGAGUGGGUAUGUGCGUGUGAACCUACCCGGGACAUGAGAGAGGCUCGUUUCGUCCAAUGAGGAGUCCUGGGGUUAAAGAAAGAGGGACCAAUUAACUUCACCUUUUCCUAAACUUGAAAAGACAAACCAAAUUCUGCCCUUCAUCUCCAAUGUUUGAAAGAUCAGAGGUUCCUGUCAAGAACAUGGGUCCGUGUGUGGUUCACUCUGAAGCAUCUGUCUUCCUGUGAAAGAGCUUGCGGCUGGUGAGUGGAUACUGAGCCCAACUUCUG
RNAcentral lists this long non-coding RNA (477 nucleotides) under Homo sapiens (human). RNAcentral's name for it is "HSALNT0301242". Lineage: Eukaryota; Metazoa; Chordata; Mammalia; Primates; Hominidae. The record is from RNAcentral.